AGUGAACGCUGGCGGUAGGCCUAACACAUGCAAGUCGAACGGCAGCACAGUAAGAGCUUGCUCUUACGGGUGGCGAGUGGCGGACGGGUGAGGAAUACAUCGGAAUCUACUUUUUCGUGGGGGAUAACGUAGGGAAACUUACGCUAAUACCGCAUACGCCCUACGGUGGAAAGCAGGGGAUCUUCGGACCUUGCGCGAUUGAAUGAGCCGAUGUCGGGUUAGCUAGUUGGCGGGGUAAAGGCCCACCAAGGCGACGAUCCGUAGCUGGUCUGAGAGGAUGAUCAGCCACACUGGAACUGGGACACGGUCCAGACUCCUACGGGAGGCAGCAGUGGGGAAUAUUGGACAAUGGGCGCAAGCCUGAUCCAGCCAUACCGCGUGGGUGAAGAAGGCCUUCGGGUUGUAAAGCCCUUUUGUUGGGAAAGAAAAGCAGCAGGUUAAUACCCCGCUGUUCUGACGGUACCCAAAGAAUAAGCACCGGCUAACUUCGUG
This 492-nucleotide ribosomal RNA is filed under the name uncultured bacterium. Its description in RNAcentral is "partial 16S ribosomal RNA". It matches the Rfam family "Bacterial small subunit ribosomal RNA", at positions 29 to 507 of the family's 1533-position model. The record is from RNAcentral.